This 812-nucleotide ribosomal RNA is filed under the name uncultured bacterium. Its description in RNAcentral is "bacterial SSU rRNA". It matches the Rfam family "Bacterial small subunit ribosomal RNA", at positions 59 to 859 of the family's 1533-position model. The record is from RNAcentral.
CAGUCGAGGGGCAGCGGGGAGGAAGCUUGCUUUCUCCGCCGGCGACCGGCGCACGGGUGAGUAACACGUAUGCAACCUGCCCCUGUCAGGGGGACAACCCGCCGAAAGGCGGGCUAAACCCGCGUACAUGCCACCGGGGCAUCCCGGAGGCAGGAAAGGCUUCGGCCGGACAGGGAUGGGCAUGCGGCGCAUUAGGCAGUAGGCGGGGUAACGGCCCACCUAACCGACGAUGCGUAGGGGUUCUGAGAGGAAGGUCCCCCACACUGGUACUGAGACACGGACCAGACUCCUACGGGAGGCAGCAGUGAGGAAUAUUGGUCAAUGGUCGGGAGACUGAACCAGCCAAGCCGCGUGAGGGAGGAAGGUACAGAGUAUCGUAAACCUCUUUUGUCAGGGAACAAAGGCGGGGACGUGUCCCCGGAUGAGUGUACCUGAAGAAAAAGCAUCGGCUAACUCCGUGCCAGCAGCCGCGGUAAUACGGAGGAUGCGAGCGUUAUCCGGAUUUAUUGGGUUUAAAGGGUGCGCAGGCGGUCUGUUAAGUCAGCGGUCAAAGCCCGGGGCUCAACCCCGGCCCGCCGUUGAAACUGGCAGUCUCGAGUUGGAGAGAAGUAUGCGGAAUGCGCGGUGUAGCGGUGAAAUGCAUAGAUAUCGCGCAGAACUCCGAUUGCGAAGGCAGCAUGCCGGCUCCACACUGACGCUGAGGCACGAAAGCGUGGGUAUCGAACAGGAUUAGAUACCCUGGUAGUCCACGCAGUAAACGAUGAAUGCUGGCUGUCCGGGGGGACUGACCCCUGGGUGGCGAAGCGAAAGCG